CGGGGUGAGUAAUGCUUGGGAAUCUAGCUUAUGGAGGGGGAUAACUACGGGAAACUGUAGCUAAUACCGCGUAGUAUCGGAAGAUGAAAGUGUGGGACCCUCGGGCCACAUGCCAUAGGAUGAGCCCAAGUGGGAUUAGGUAGUUGGUGAGGUAAAGGCUCACCAAGCCGACGAUCUCUAGCUGGUCUGAGAGGAUGACCAGCCACACUGGGACUGAGACACGGCCCAG
Molecule: ribosomal RNA, 229 nt
Filed under: uncultured bacterium
Lineage: Bacteria
Description: partial 16S ribosomal RNA
Rfam family: Bacterial small subunit ribosomal RNA
Source: RNAcentral